UUACCAACUUUUAAAGAGAAAAACCCUCAGCUGGAGGUGGUUACUGAACUCAUUCGUGGGCAGCAUCCACAUUUGAAAGGCUUUUACAGUAAGAUACUCUUUCUUGGAUGAGUUUCAGACAUGAUGCAUUCACGUAUGCGAUGUUUUUAACCAUGUCUGAAAACAUGUAUCUUGCCAAUUUCUCAGAGAACAAAAAUGAGCGGGUGGUAUGCGUGAAGAAUAUGACUCCUGAAGAUAUCCUUCUUUCUGCAACCAGGCUAAGAAACGCAUUGGGAAGAAAGGUGGUGAAAUUGAAGACAAG
This 301-nucleotide long non-coding RNA is filed under the name Gossypium barbadense (sea-island cotton). RNAcentral's name for it is "long non-coding RNA (GBAR_LNC018855)". Lineage: Eukaryota; Viridiplantae; Streptophyta; Magnoliopsida; Malvales; Malvaceae. The record is from RNAcentral.